GGUUGGUCCGAUGGCAGUGGGUUAUCAGAACUUACUAACAUUAGUGUCACUAAAGUUGAUAUACCACCCCCCCACUGCUAAAUUUGACUGGCUUAAA
Cavia porcellus (domestic guinea pig) is the source of this 97-nucleotide unclassified non-coding RNA. It matches the Rfam family "Y RNA". From Rfam's summary of the family: Y RNAs are components of the Ro ribonucleoprotein particle (Ro RNP), in association with Ro60 and La proteins. The Y RNAs and Ro60 and La proteins are well conserved, but the function of the Ro RNP is not known. Lineage: Eukaryota; Metazoa; Chordata; Mammalia; Rodentia; Caviidae. The record is from Ensembl.